AUCCACGCCAGUAUCAUUUCUGAUAAACCUUUUGCGACAUAUGGGAAAGGAAAGUAGACUGGUCUUGGGCAUGUAUUGCAAAUGUUCAUGUGGAUAAUAACUUUUAAAUGUUGCGAUGUAUUUGCCAUAAUCUCAUUAAGUUUUGGAAUAUAUUGGGGGUUGCCACAAUAAUUAGUUACACCUCUGUCAGCUCAAUGUUUAUCCAACAUUUGCCUUCUCAUCUUUAUGCUCAUGGCUUCUGCUAUUACAGAUGUUGAACGAGGUGUUGUGACUGUAACUUUGCAAACAAGUCUAAAUUCUGUGCAGGGUUAUGUUUAGAUGACAAAGUUUGCAGUGAGAUGUUUGCACUAAUAGCCAAAUGAUUCCUGGUGCUAACAGUACUGUUGCAAACCGUCUUGCCAAUUUGAGAUCAUUUUGAGUUGCUCAGCAGAAGGUUGGUCUGCAUGCAUGACACGAACAAUGGAUGGGCAACAUCAAAUACUAAGCUCUUGCAAAGAAUGUCCAAGUUGUGUUAACCUCCUCAUUAGCUCCGUUGUUGCUGCCAAGUAAGCCAACCGUGUACAAAUUUAUCAUUUAUUUGCAGUCAAUGUUUCCAAAUAAUUUAACUCAUUUCCUACAAAUGUUCUUUGACCAUUUCUUUGUGUUAUUAACGCUCGCCAUCCUCUGUGCCGUUCCAUAUUUUGGGCAUUAAUUAGAGGUUACAAUGAAAGAUGAGACUCCAACAAUCUUUAGUUCAAAUGUGAAGCCACUUGCCUUACUACAUUAACAUCAUGUUUCACUGUUGCAGAAAGGUUUGCCUAACCAGGGUUACUAUUUCAAAAGCAGUCUCUUCAUUUCUAAAGAUUUAAAUCGUGUUAAUUAUUUCUAAUGUAUUGGUAUUUUUGUAACAGGGCCAUGUUGACUUUAUUUUGUCAUUGAAUAUUAUUGAAUGGAUACAAUUCCUAAUGACCUCUGCCAUUUUAUACAACUGGAUUGGGUAUUAAAUGGUCUAUCAAGAAUUUUGAGUAAGCUCAGUUGUGCACUACCUUCUAACUCAAUCCUGAGUCAGCCAUCUUACAAAGCUUUAUAUAGUGGCAGAAACAUACACUUAACAUGUGUGGAAAGUUCAGCCUGCUGAGAAAGUGUCCCAUCUGCUUAUAUGUGGCCAUUUAGCUGUUGCUUGGUGUUUGUGCUUGACCCCAGCCUCUGCUCAGUGGUGCUCUGUGUUGCCAGCUCCCAUUUAGAUGUAAUGUGCUUGUCUACCAUCAAGGUCACAUUGGUUUAGUUUGGGAAGGUUGGUGUUAUGUGCAUGCAUCAGGAAGCUGCAAUUUCCCCUUGUUCACUU
Molecule: long non-coding RNA, 1324 nt
Organism: Amblyraja radiata (thorny skate)
Lineage: Eukaryota; Metazoa; Chordata; Chondrichthyes; Rajiformes; Rajidae
Exons: 2
Source: RefSeq, a predicted model, not a curated record